This 1440-nucleotide ribosomal RNA is filed under the name Staphylococcus aureus. Its description in RNAcentral is "bacterial SSU rRNA". It matches the Rfam family "Bacterial small subunit ribosomal RNA". Lineage: Bacteria; Bacillati; Bacillota; Bacilli; Caryophanales; Staphylococcaceae. The record is from RNAcentral.
GGAGCUAUACAUGCAGUCGAGCGAACAGAUGAGAAGCUUGCUUCUCUGAUGUUAGCGGCGGACGGGUGAGUAACACGUGGGUAACCUACCUAUAAGACUGGGAUAACUCCGGGAAACCGGGGCUAAUACCGGAUAAUAUUUUGAACCGCAUGGUUCAAUAGUGAAAGACGGUUUCGGCUGUCACUUAUAGAUGGACCCGCGCCGUAUUAGCUAGUUGGUAAGGUAACGGCUUACCAAGGCGACGAUACGUAGCCGACCUGAGAGGGUGAUCGGCCACACUGGAACUGAGACACGGUCCAGACUCCUACGGGAGGCAGCAGUAGGGAAUCUUCCGCAAUGGGCGAAAGCCUGACGGAGCAACGCCGCGUGAGUGAUGAAGGUCUUCGGAUCGUAAAACUCUGUUGUUAGGGAAGAACAAAUUUGUUAGUAACUGAACAAGUCUUGACGGUACCUAACCAGAAAGCCACGGCUAACUACGUGCCAGCAGCCGCGGUAAUACGUAGGUGGCAAGCGUUAUCCGGAAUUAUUGGGCGUAAAGCGCGCGUAGGCGGUUUCUUAAGUCUGAUGUGAAAGCCCACGGCUCAACCGUGGAGGGUCAUUGGAAACUGGGAAACUUGAGUGCAGAAGAGGAGAGUGGAAUUCCAUGUGUAGCGGUGAAAUGCGCAGAGAUAUGGAGGAACACCAGUGGCGAAGGCGGCUCUCUGGUCUGUAACUGACGCUGAUGUGCGAAAGCGUGGGGAUCAAACAGGAUUAGAUACCUGGUAGUCCACGCCGUAAACGAUGAGUGCUAAGUGUUAGGGGGUUUCCGCCCCUUAGUGCUGCAGCUAACGCAUUAAGCACUCCGCCUGGGGAGUACGACCGCAAGGUUGAAACUCAAAGGAAUUGACGGGGACCCGCACAAGCGGUGGAGCAUGUGGUUUAAUUCGAAGCAACGCGAAGAACCUUACCAAAUCUUGACAUCCUUUGACCGCUCUAGAGAUAGAGUCUCCCCUUCGGGGGACAAAGUGACAGGUGGUGCAUGGUUGUCGUCAGCUCGUGUCGUGAGAUGUUGGGUUAAGUCCCGCAACGAGCGCAACCCUUAAGCUUAGUUGCCAUCAUUAAGUUGGGCACUCUAGGUUGACUGCCGGUGACAAACCGGAGGAAGGUGGGGAUGACGUCAAAUCAUCAUGCCCCUUAUGAUUUGGGCUACACACGUGCUACAAUGGAUAAUACAAAGGGCAGCGAAUCCGCGAGGCCAAGCAAAUCCCAUAAAAUUAUUCUCAGUUCGGAUUGUAGUCUGCAACUCGACUACAUGAAGCUGGAAUCGCUAGUAAUCGUAGAUCAGCAUGCUACGGUGAAUACGUUCCCGGGUCUUGUACACACCGCCCGUCACACCACGAGAGUUUGUAACACCCGAAGCCGGUGGAGUAACCUUUUAGGAGCUAGCCGUCGAAGUGACAU